GUUGCCAUGGCGAGCAGCGGAGUAAGGGGUGAAAUCGUUCAGAUCUAUCAAGAGUACAUUAAAGUAUGUCUACAUUGAGUAACUGACCAGUCACACAUAAGUCACACGUGCACUAUAAAACAACACUGAGCCAUGUUAAAGUCUGAUUGCAGUCUAAUGAGGAGGUUGAUUCAAGUGGUCGUAUUGCAAAAUGCUCUGUCUACUACUCAACAUAUACUGCACAGUACACAAAGCACACGUGCUUAUGUAGCUUCAUGACAAAUAUACUGUAGGCCGCAGCUGUAACAUCAGCUAUAAUGUGAGUAUUUUCACACUGGACACAGUAACUCAUUUUAGAUUAAAGAGCGCUUUGCUUAUUUUAAAUUUUAUUUCCAUAUGUCAGUUACUGUAAAGACAUAUCGUGUUCUAGUAGAGCUCUCUGUAUCGCUGCUGCCAGUUGAUCUGGUUCACUUCUACCUUCCGCUGACAUGUUCUCAUUAUUCUUGCAAUGUUCUGUUGAUUUUAGCGGUCCCUGUGGAUACAAGCGGUAGUGUUUCCCGAGCACUCAGCAAACCCCCUUUUUACUUCAGCGGUGUCUGACAGUUUUUCCGGCUCAGUCCUGGUUCUGGUUCUCCCAUGCCUCUCUACCCACCAGCGGUCCCAGCAAAGAUGGUCUGGGUCUCCGCAGCAUGGUGCCUGUCUUGACAGACAAUCAGUUGAACUUGAAGAUCUGAAGACUCAUGAAUUGUAUUUUGAUUCAUGGAGAAAGCAUUUUGAGUAUUUUUUAUACAAAAUGACUCCACUCCAAUAUAUAUUGUUACAAAUUACAUUUACAAGAUCCAACCCUAACUCAGUAAAUCCUAACUCUAAAUCACACGUAAACUGUAAAAAACAGCAAUUUAUUUCAGGAAUUCAGGAUACACAACUGAUGUGUCCUACGCAUCGAGAAGACCUUCCUUCAGCCGAACGGCGGGGAAGCUGUUAACAAGGACUGAUCUGAGGUCUGAAUGCAGGCACACAGUUUGCUUGCUAAAGCUCCGCUGCGCGGGGUCAACUCAACUGUACUCUCUGCUGCGAAAAUGUGAAACGUGAACUCGGUGGUAUUUCUUUUCCUGCAAACCUAGCUGUCAGUCAGAAUUUAAGGUUUGGGAUGCAGCUUAAAAUAUAAAGACACACAGCUCAUUGGGACCUGGGAGCCAUCACAAAUAAAUAAAGGCACUAUUUUCUGACUUUUAACGAAUUAAAAUAUUAUUGUGAAAUCGCCAGUCUGACUUUUUGUGAUUGCAUGGAAUAUCCAUAUCGCUGUGUCACGUUGGAUUAAUAGGCUUGUAGUGUCAGUCAGUAUCUGCAAGCACUUGGUAAAUACAUUACAUUUUUUCUGUAUCACAAUAAAAUCUUAAUGACAAUAGGCCAUUAGUAGUUCUGCAGACAGGAUAAUAUCUUUUUCCUCAAGUUUCACAGUGAGCCAUCUGUCAGAUGAGGUCAACUAUUUGUUAUUUGUGGACUGAAUGGGGGCUUCGCAAUGAGAAGGACAAGUGUAGAGGAAAGGUGGUAUGUCGAUUCCUGAGCCAGCUGCUGGAUGAGCCCGAGCUGCCUAACGGCACUGGUGCAGAUGAGAUGGAUGAGAUGGAGGCUGGAGUGCAGGAGGAGUUAAAAAGAAGAGGGGUGAGGGUUGAGCCGGGCAGCGCAGUCCGCUCUGAAAGUCCUGAGGGUUGAGGGCAUUGAUCUAGAGAUGUAUCCUUCAAAGUUCACGUACCUCCUAUCCGACUAAUAUUGACAUUGCCAGAUUUGUAUCUCCAUCUUUUGAUGUUGAUCACCUCUGACCCCCGUUUCGCUCCACUUCUUAUUGGAGGCAUAUGUGGCUUUAUAAUCAGAACUGGAAGUCCUUCCUCAUAGGAAACAAUGCGCCGUCUUGAGGCUAACUGAGUUAGCGUGAAGACACAUGACUUUGUUCAAGAUGACCAUGAAACGGGUUGAACCUUUACCUGCGUGCCUGUAGUGUAGCAACAUCAUGAGGGCCACCAGAGAAACAAGAUUGGUUUUACACGAGGUUCCCUAGCGGACUGGUUAAAUAAAACAUUACACUGUCAGCACGCGUCUAUGAAAGGAAAAUAAAAAGCCUACAUUGACUGUAUGCCAGAUAUAUACAACUGCCCUCGGAAGACAAUGGCAGAGAGGAAAAGAAACAUCAGUCACUCUUUAAUGCUAAUACAUGUUUUCCCCAGUGUUUCACUUUUAGAUUCAUGUUACUCUAAUGAGUUUGAACAGAUUUCACUUCCUGGUGUAAUGUAAGUAAACAGAGUUCCUGGGCUCUGUUUGUUCUUUGGCACUAGAGGCGCAGGCCUGACUUAUUGCACAAUUGAGGAUCUUCAACCAAAACAGGAAGAGGAAUUCAUCAUUUGUUUGUUACAAGGCAGGAUCGUAUUACAGAUGAACAAAUACACAGAAAGACCAGAUGGUGCGCGGUGGGAGAAAAGGAAUCAACUGCUCUGGAGUAUGAACAUAUUCCACCUGAUCACUGCAGGGAGGCGACCGACCGACUGACUGACGUGACCUGACUUUGGCUCCUGAUUUUCUUCAGUGGAAGGAAGGGACCUUCCUACUUAAAGACAGAUUUAUUGUACAUUCAGUCUUCAGUUUUCUCGUUAUCUGUGUACAUCUUCCUGCCAUGUGCGGUGAGACUGAACAUUAGCAUUAAAUGUGCUUUUAAGUAGUUUGUGUCUUUGUAUAUUUUGUAUGUACUGUUGCAUACUCCUAGUAUAUUUUUAUACAUACAGAACAUAUAUUUCAGUGUUCAUAGCUAUGCGCCUGUGACUGUGAUGUUAGUGUGCGUGUGUCCGAAUUGUGAGACUGACUGGCCAGUCAGGAAUGAUCAGCUGAAAACUGGCUUUCGUCACGCCUCUUAUAUACACCAUUUAUUAUUCUUUCAAGGUCAUUGUUACACUUUCACAGCUUAUCGCUCUCCAAAGGGCUAGAAUAAUCUUCCUGCCAGCACCUCUUAAGCACACUGAUUAUGAAAUGAUAUCUCAACUGUUUGGCAUGACAAAAAGUUUUCAUUAGAAGUUUCUGCAAAGCUUAGGUUUAGUCAACCAAACUACUUUUUGGUAGAUUUUGGUAACAAUGGUCCUUGGCUGGGUCUUGGCAACAAAGUACUUGGUUUAAGCAAACAACAACUAACUGCCUCCUUGCUCAGAGCCACAAGUUUGAACCGUCCAGCCCCAAGCAUUGAUGUCAUAUAAUGCCAGUAAAAAGUAUUUGCUGGUUUCUUUUUUUCAUAUUUAUUACACUUAAAUGUUUCAGAUUAUCGGAAAUGUUUUGAUGUGACGCGAGUAAAUAAAAAAUGUUUUUAAGAAAAAAUCCAUUAGAUUCAAUUUACAGGGUUCCCCGUGAACAAGCUGUAAACCCGAGGAACACUCA
Long non-coding RNA from Gasterosteus aculeatus aculeatus (three-spined stickleback), 3396 nucleotides. The record is from Ensembl. Lineage: Eukaryota; Metazoa; Chordata; Actinopteri; Perciformes; Gasterosteidae.